Molecule: long non-coding RNA, 1794 nt
Organism: Brassica napus (rape)
Lineage: Eukaryota; Viridiplantae; Streptophyta; Magnoliopsida; Brassicales; Brassicaceae
Exons: 4
Source: RefSeq, a predicted model, not a curated record
CGGUUUUGGAUCGGUUCGGAUAUAUCCGAAGUAACCAUAUAUCAUUCGGAUUCGGCUUAUAUCGGACCGGUUCGGAUAUAUACAAAGUAAAAUCUAAAAUUUAAAAGUAUAACAUAAGAAAUAUAUUUUUCUUUGCAUAUAAUAGAGUAUUUAAGGUAUUUAUUUAAAUUUUCAAUACUUAUUGUUAUAUAUCAUAUCCAAAUAAAUAUGAAAUUAAAUAUUUGAAGUACAUAUUUAUAACAAAUAUUUAUAUUAUGUAUUAAUUUGGACAUUCGGAUUGGUUUCCUCGGAUAUUUUUUCGGGUUUUCGUGCUUUUCGGAUUUUCGGGUUUUCGGGUUACCCGUUCGGGUUCGGUUAAUAACACUCCGGGUUCGGAUAUGUUUAGUAACACCCUAUAAGAUCCAUUGAAGUAUUUUUUACAUUUCGGAUCGGGUACGGAUAGGUUUUUUUGGUUCGGAUUCGGUUUGGAUUUCGGGUUUCGGAUUUUAUGCCCAGCCCUACUAAUCAGCUUCAGACAAGAAACGAAGGUUGUAUCUCUGCAUCCUUCGACGGCGACUCGAUGUCGUGUCCUCUUUCUAUCACCAUCUGAAACAGUCCGAGUUAAGAGUUCGUGUUUAAUCCCAUCGAUUCGCUCUCCCACAAUGUGUAUUCAAAGCAUUCUUCGAGCUGAGAGGCGGUGUGGUUUUUGUAUAAAUAUAUGGUUUUUUCUCUGAUCUGAAGUCCGGCAAGUGUACCUCCGUCAUCGAGGCUAGGCUCCUGCGGUUCUGGGAGGCCAGGAACAUUAAAUGCGGUGGGGAACUCAUGUGGGUUGAUAUGCUCCCGGUGGAUGUUAACGCUACCAUGAUGCAAGCCACCAUCAAUGCUAGCGGGCUUCCGAGAUUUCGGUCUAGGCUCGCCGCCGGGACGAUGUUCUCCGUCUCCGGAUUUGAUGUGUCUGGUGUGCCCAGAAUUUCCUCCUUUCUUCACUAUCACCACGAGUAGAAAGAUGACCAUCAUGAAGGCUUGAGUCAUCUGUAAUUUUUUCCUCAAGAUCUAAAAAACAAGAUUGAAGAAUCUAAGUUAUAAAGAAGCUUUGCAAUUUGGUAUUUGGAGUUUUUUUAUAAAUCUUCAAUAAUGAUUUUGAGAUUGAUUCUUCUCCUGUUUCAUUACAUCUCAGUGUUUGCUAUCUGAGUGUUUUUUACGCUCAAGCCAACCAUCUUAACCAGAAGUUAUUGGCCUUGGAUGUGGAGCCUGAGGUGAUGUCGCUACCAGUAAUAACCUCAAGUUCAUGGGAGGUAACCUUUCAUUGAUCUCCUACAACUUGCAGGCUGGAUUUUCCUAAAUGCAAUUUCUGGCACAUAUAUAUACUUACUUUGACAAAGAAACAAGUGACAGUGACACCUUCAUAGCCAGCUUUGGUAAUGGUGACUUAGCCUCUUCCCAGCGCCGGUCAAUAUGUUUCAUGGCCCUACUCAAAAUUUGGGCUUUAGCUGUGUAAAAAAUUGAUGAAACAGUACCUUAAAGGAAAAACGAGAAUUAUGUAUGGGCCCGUAAGCGGCAGCUUAUACUGCUUCCGCAGCGGGCUGUGCCUGCCUCUUCCACAAGUUUGAUCAAAUAUGGUGGUGCUGAUAAAAUAGAAACAGUAACAGUGUCAGAGCUCAACACCUAUGUGCUCAACUCUACACCUCAGAUCCAUUGCCUAUAUCUUUCCUAAUGCUUAUUGUUUUCACAUUCAUUCAUUGUAGUGUUCUACUUCAGGUUGUAGUGUUCUUUAUUCCUUAAAAAAUAAUUUUUUAUUAGAUCUGUCGUUAUGCA